RNAcentral lists this ribosomal RNA (494 nucleotides) under uncultured bacterium. RNAcentral describes it as "bacterial SSU rRNA". It matches the Rfam family "Bacterial small subunit ribosomal RNA", at positions 28 to 527 of the family's 1533-position model. The record is from RNAcentral.
GAUGAACGCUAGCGGGAGGCUUAACACAUGCAAGUCGAGCGGCAAUCCCGAGCAAUCGGGACUAGAGCGGCGCACGGGUGAGUAACGCGUAUGCAACCUGCCUUUUACAGGGGGAUAGCCCGGAGAAAUCCGGAUUAAUACCCCAUGGAACUAUAAAGCCGCAUGGUUUAAUAGUUAAAGAUUUAUCGGUAAGAGAUGGGCAUGCGUGACAUUAGCUAGUUGGCGGGUAACGGCCCACAAGGCUACGAUGUCUAGGGUUCUGAGAGGAUGAUCCCCCAACUGGUACUGAGACACGGACCAGACUCCUACGGGAGCAGCAGUGAGGAAUAUUGGUCAAUGGGCGCAAGCCUGAACCAGCCAUCCCGGUGAAGGAUGAAUGUACUAUGUAUUGUAAACUUCUUUUCUGCAAAGGAAAGGGUCACUACGUGUAGUGUUUUGACGGUAUUGCAGGAAUAAGCAUCGGCUAACUCCGUGCCAGCAGCCGCGGUAAAACG